CCUACGGGGGGCUGCAGUGAGGAAUAUUUGUCAAUGGGCGCGAGCCUGAUCCAGCCACGCAGCGUGAAGGAUGACUGCCCUACGGGUUGUAAACUUCUUUUAUAAAGGAAUAAAUUGAGGCACGAGUGCCUUUUUGUAUGUACUUUAUGAAUACGGAUCGGCUAACUCCGGGCCAGCAGCCGCGGUAAUCCGGAGGCGCCGAGCGUUAUCCGGAUUUAUUGGGUUUAAAGGGCGUGUAGGCCGGGCUUUAAGCGUGCCGUGAAAGUUUGUGGCUCAACCAGUAGAGUGCGGCGCGAACUGGUGACGUUGAGUGCGCGGAAGGCAGGCGGAAUUCGUGGUGUAGCGGUGAAAUGCUUAGAUAUCGCGAAGAACCCCGAUUGCGAAGGCAGGCUGCCGCAGCGUUACUGACGCUGAAGCUCGAAGGCGCGGGGAUCGAACGGGAUUAGAUACCCGGGUAGUC
RNAcentral lists this ribosomal RNA (460 nucleotides) under uncultured bacterium. RNAcentral describes it as "partial 16S ribosomal RNA". It matches the Rfam family "Bacterial small subunit ribosomal RNA", at positions 338 to 795 of the family's 1533-position model. The record is from RNAcentral.